AUUGAACGCUGGCGGCAGGCCUAACACAUGCAAGUCGAGCGGAUCAGCGGACGGGUUAGUAUUACCUAGGACUCGGACUGGUAGUGAGGGAUAACGUUCGGAAACGGGCGCUAAUACCGCAUACUAUCAGAUGAGCCUGGGUCGGAUUAGCUAGUGGUUGGGGUAAAGGCCUACCAAGGCGACGAUCCGUAACUGGUCUGAGAGGAUGAUCAGUCACACUGGAACUGAGACACGGUCCAGACUCCUACGGGAGGCAGCAGUGGGGAAUAUGGGACAAUGGGCGAAAGCCUGAUACAGCCAUGCCGCGUGUGGGAAGAAGGUCUUCGGGUUGUAAAACUCUUUUGUGAGGGAGGCGUUAUCUACCGAGAGAGCCCCGGCUAACUCCGUGCCAGCAGCCGCGGUAAUAC
Molecule: ribosomal RNA, 407 nt
Filed under: uncultured bacterium
Lineage: Bacteria
Description: partial 16S ribosomal RNA
Rfam family: Bacterial small subunit ribosomal RNA
Source: RNAcentral